CUAUAUUAUGCACUCCCCAAUCUAUCUCCCUUCUAAUCGUUCGCUGCAAACAAAAAAAAACAACAAGGCAAUUCUUCUCAACUUUAAUCAAGAAACCGUGAAACAGGACUCGAAAGACGGAGCUAGCGGUUGUUUUCUCAAACUCUGUUCAAGGGUGAUCUCCGUGAGCGAAGUAAGAUCGAAAAGGAAAAUCCAAGUUAAGGAACUAAGCAAUCGAGGUGGGCUUUCUUUUUAAAUAAGGGCAAUGCCCUAAGUAUAUUUUUAUGUGAAAAUAAUAUGAAUAUUUUUC
This is a long non-coding RNA of Salvia splendens (bonfire salvia), 289 nucleotides long. RefSeq lists it as uncharacterized. The transcript is spliced from 3 exons. The record is from RefSeq and is a predicted model, not a curated record. Lineage: Eukaryota; Viridiplantae; Streptophyta; Magnoliopsida; Lamiales; Lamiaceae.